This 1224-nucleotide ribosomal RNA is filed under the name metagenome. RNAcentral's name for it is "SSU rRNA". It matches the Rfam family "Eukaryotic small subunit ribosomal RNA", at positions 493 to 1774 of the family's 1831-position model. The record is from RNAcentral.
CUCAUGGUUUCACGGUAUUGCAAUGAGAACAAUUUAAAACCCUUAGCGAGAAUCAAGUGGAGGACAAGUCUGGUGCCAGCACCCGCGGUAAUUCCAGCUCCACUAGCGUAUAUUAAAGUUGUUGCAGUUAAAAAGCUCGUAGUUGAACCUCUGUCUGGGGCUAGUUUUGGCUUUGGUCAGGCUAGUUCUAGGCAUCCGCCUACAAGACUUAGAGGGCAUUCAGUUGUUCACUAGGAGGAGUAGGCAUUUUACUUUGAAAAAAUUAGAGUGUUUAAGGCAGGCAAUCGCCCGCAUAUAUUAGCAUGGAAUAAUAGAAUAGGACACUUUUCCAUUUCGUUGGUUAUUGGAAUCGUGUAAUGAUUAAUAGGGACAGUUGUGGGCAUUUGUAUUUAAUUGUCAGAGGUGAAAUUCUUGGAUUUAUUAAAGACAAACUAACGCGAAAGCAUUUGCCAAGGAUGUUCUCAUUAAUCAAGAACGAAAGUUAGGGGAUCAAAGACGAUCAGAUACCGUCCUAGUCUUAACUAUAAACUAUUCCGACUCAAUGUUUGACUGGCUUAUAUAACCAGUUGAGCGUUGUAUGAGAAAUCAAAGUCUUUAGGUUCUGGGGGGAGUAUGGUUGCAAAGCUGAAACUUAAAGGAAUUGACGGAAGAGCACAACCAGGAGUGGAUUCUGCGGCUUAAUUUGACUCAACACGGGGAAACUUACCAGGUUAAAACAAUAGUGGGAUUGACAGUUUGAGAGCGCUUUCUUGAUUGGUUGGGUGGUGGUGCAUGGCCGUUCUUAGUUGGUGGAGUGAUUUGUCUGCUUAAUUGCGUUAACGAACGAGACCUUAACCUGCUUACUAGACUGGCGAUCAUCAAUCGUUAGCUCUUCUUAGAGGGACUUUGGUUGUUUUAACUCCAAGGAAGUUUGAGGCAAUAACAGGUCUGUGAUGCCCUUAGAUAUCCUGGGCCGCACGCGUCAUACAAUGACUAGUUCAGAAAGUUUUCUCCUGACCCGAAAGGGGAUGGGUAAUCUUGAUAAUACUAGUCGUGUUAGGGAUCGAUCUUUGCAAUUAUAGAUCUUGAACGAGGAAUUCCUAGUAAGUGCGGUUCAUCAGACCGUACUGAUUACGUCCCUGCUCUUUGUACACACCGCCCGUCGCUUCUACCGAGUGGGUGGUCCGGUGAGAUAAUUGAACUUCGCAGGUAACUGAGAGGAAAGAUUAUCAAACCUAUCCACCU